RNAcentral lists this ribosomal RNA (2582 nucleotides) under Escherichia coli. RNAcentral describes it as "bacterial LSU rRNA". It matches the Rfam family "Bacterial large subunit ribosomal RNA", at positions 216 to 2826 of the family's 2925-position model. Lineage: Bacteria; Pseudomonadati; Pseudomonadota; Gammaproteobacteria; Enterobacterales; Enterobacteriaceae. The record is from RNAcentral.
AAUAAUCCAGCGGGAUGUCCCCAGGUGCGUCGGUCGAACGGGGAGCAGCCCAGAGCCUGAAUCAGUGUGUGUGUUAGUGGAAGCGUCUGGAAAGGCGCGCGAUACAGGGUGACAGCCCCGUACACAAAAAUGCACAUACUGUGAGCUCGAUGAGUAGGGCGGGACACGUGGUAUCCUGUCUGAAUAUGGGGGGACCAUCCUCCAAGGCUAAAUACUCCUGACUGACCGAUAGUGAACCAGUACCGUGAGGGAAAGGCGAAAAGAACCCCGGCGAGGGGAGUGAAAAAGAACCUGAAACCGUGUACGUACAAGCAGUGGGAGCACGCUUAGGCGUGUGACUGCGUACCUUUUGUAUAAUGGGUCAGCGACUUAUAUUCUGUAGCAAGGUUAACCGAAUAGGGGAGCCGAAGGGAAACCGAGUCUUAACUGGGCGUUAAGUUGCAGGGUAUAGACCCGAAACCCGGUGAUCUAGCCAUGGGCAGGUUGAAGGUUGGGUAACACUAACUGGAGGACCGAACCGACUAAUGUUGAAAAAUUAGCGGAUGACUUGUGGCUGGGGGUGAAAGGCCAAUCAAACCGGGAGAUAGCUGGUUCUCCCCGAAAGCUAUUUAGGUAGCGCCUCGUGAAUUCAUCUCCGGGGGUAGAGCACUGUUUCGGCAAGGGGGUCAUCCCGACUUACCAACCCGAUGCAAACUGCGAAUACCGGAGAAUGUUAUCACGGGAGACACACGGCGGGUGCUAACGUCCGUCGUGAAGAGGGAAACAACCCAGACCGCCAGCUAAGGUCCCAAAGUCAUGGUUAAGUGGGAAACGAUGUGGGAAGGCCCAGACAGCCAGGAUGUUGGCUUAGAAGCAGCCAUCAUUUAAAGAAAGCGUAAUAGCUCACUGGUCGAGUCGGCCUGCGCGGAAGAUGUAACGGGGCUAAACCAUGCACCGAAGCUGCGGCAGCGACGCUGAUGCGUUGUUGGGUAGGGGAGCGUUCUGUAAGCCUGCGAAGGUGUGCUGUGAGGCAUGCUGGAGGUAUCAGAAGUGCGAAUGCUGACAUAAGUAACGAUAAAGCGGGUGAAAAGCCCGCUCGCCGGAAGACCAAGGGUUCCUGUCCAACGUUAAUCGGGGCAGGGUGAGUCGACCCCUAAGGCGAGGCCGAAAGGCGUAGUCGAUGGGAAACAGGUUAAUAUUCCUGUACUUGGUGUUACUGCGAAGGGGGGACGGAGAAGGCUAUGUUGGCCGGGCGACGGUUGUCCCGGUUUAAGCGUGUAGGCUGGUUUUCCAGGCAAAUCCGGAAAAUCAAGGCUGAGGCGUGAUGACGAGGCACUACGGUGCUGAAGCAACAAAUGCCCUGCUUCCAGGAAAAGCCUCUAAGCAUCAGGUAACAUCAAAUCGUACCCCAAACCGACACAGGUGGUCAGGUAGAGAAUACCAAGGCGCUUGAGAGAACUCGGGUGAAGGAACUAGGCAAAAUGGUGCCGUAACUUCGGGAGAAGGCACGCUGAUAUGUAGGUGAAGCGACUUGCUCGUGGAGCUGAAAUCAGUCGAAGAUACCAGCUGGCUGCAACUGUUUAUUAAAAACACAGCACUGUGCAAACACGAAAGUGGACGUAUACGGUGUGACGCCUGCCCGGUGCCGGAAGGUUAAUUGAUGGGGUCAGCGCAAGCGAAGCUCUUGAUCGAAGCCCCGGUAAACGGCGGCCGUAACUAUAACGGUCCUAAGGUAGCGAAAUUCCUUGUCGGGUAAGUUCCGACCUGCACGAAUGGCGUAAUGAUGGCCAGGCUGUCUCCACCCGAGACUCAGUGAAAUUGAACUCGCUGUGAAGAUGCAGUGUACCCGCGGCAAGACGGAAAGACCCCGUGAACCUUUACUAUAGCUUGACACUGAACAUUGAGCCUUGAUGUGUAGGAUAGGUGGGAGGCUUUGAAGUGUGGACGCCAGUCUGCAUGGAGCCGACCUUGAAAUACCACCCUUUAAUGUUUGAUGUUCUAACGUGGACCCGUGAUCCGGGUUGCGGACAGUGUCUGGUGGGUAGUUUGACUGGGGCGGUCUCCUCCUAAAGAGUAACGGAGGAGCACGAAGGUUGGCUAAUCCUGGUCGGACAUCAGGAGGUUAGUGCAAUGGCAUAAGCCAGCUUGACUGCGAGCGUGACGGCGCGAGCAGGUGCGAAAGCAGGUCAUAGUGAUCCGGUGGUUCUGAAUGGAAGGGCCAUCGCUCAACGGAUAAAAGGUACUCCGGGGAUAACAGGCUGAUACCGCCCAAGAGUUCAUAUCGACGGCGGUGUUUGGCACCUCGAUGUCGGCUCAUCACAUCCUGGGGCUGAAGUAGGUCCCAAGGGUAUGGCUGUUCGCCAUUUAAAGUGGUACGCGAGCUGGGUUUAGAACGUCGUGAGACAGUUCGGUCCCUAUCUGCCGUGGGCGCUGGAGAACUGAGGGGGGCUGCUCCUAGUACGAGAGGACCGGAGUGGACGCAUCACUGGUGUUCGGGUUGUCAUGCCAAUGGCACUGCCCGGUAGCUAAAUGCGGAAGAGAUAAGUGCUGAAAGCAUCUAAGCACGAAACUUGCCCCGAGAUGAGUUCUCCCUGACUCCUUGA